AUGAACGCUAGCGGCGUGCCUAACACAUGCAAGUCGAACGUGAGAAGUAUUUCGGUACUUUGAAAGUGGCGGACGGGUGAGUAAGACGUAGGUGACCUGCCUUGAAGAGGGGGAUAACCACUGGAAACGGUGGCUAAUACCGCAUAGGUUGGCUAAGUUGGGAAAGUUGGUCAACAAAGCUGAGGCGCUUGAAGAGGGGCCUACGGCCGAUUAGUUAGUUGGUGGGGUAAAGGCCUACCAAGGCGAUGAUCGGUAGCUGGUCUGAGAGGACGAUCAGCCACACGGGAACUGAGAGACGGUCCCGACUCCUACGGGGGGCAGCAGUGAGGAAUAUUCGGCAAUGGGGGGAACCCUGACCGAGCAACGCCGCGUGGAGGAUGACAGUUUUCGGAUUGUAAACUCCUUUUCUGCGGGAAGAGGAAGGACGGUACCGCAGGAAUAAGUCACGGCUAACUACGU
This 459-nucleotide ribosomal RNA is filed under the name uncultured bacterium. RNAcentral describes it as "bacterial SSU rRNA". It matches the Rfam family "Bacterial small subunit ribosomal RNA", at positions 29 to 506 of the family's 1533-position model. The record is from RNAcentral.